RNAcentral lists this ribosomal RNA (549 nucleotides) under Eupholidoptera hesperica. RNAcentral's name for it is "partial 16S ribosomal RNA". It matches the Rfam family "Bacterial large subunit ribosomal RNA", at positions 1807 to 2628 of the family's 2925-position model. Lineage: Eukaryota; Metazoa; Arthropoda; Insecta; Orthoptera; Tettigoniidae. The record is from RNAcentral.
UCAAAAACAUGUCCUUUUGAGUUUAAUUUAAGGUCGGGCCUGCCCCCUGAUGAUAUAUUAAAGGGCCGCGGUAUUUUGACCGUGCAAAGGUAGCAUAAUCAUUAGUCUUUUAAUUGAAGGCUGGAAUGAAUGGUUUGACGAAAUAUUAACUGUCUCUUUGUAAUUGAUAAAAUUUAACUUCUGAGUUAAAAGGCUUAGAUAAUUGUAAAAGACGAGAAGACCCUAUAGAUCUUUAUACGUGGAUGUAUUUAUUUUGUUUAGGUGUAAUUUUAAUAGAUACGUUAUUGUAUUUUGUUGGGGUGACAUGAAGAUAAGAUUAACUCUUUAUAAUUGAUACAUUGAUUUAUGAAUAAUUGAUCCGUUAAUAGCGAUUUUAAGAUAAAGUUACCUUAGGGAUAACAGCGUAAUUUUUUUUGAGAGUUCUUAUCGACAAAAAAGAUUGCGACCUCGAUGUUGGAUUAAGGAAUAUGAUUAGGUGCAGAAAUUUAAUUAAUAAGUCUGUUCGACUUUUAAAUCCUUACGUGAUCUGAGUUCAGACCAUUAGAUACC